CCCCUGCAGACUGGUGCUUAACG
RNAcentral lists this microRNA (23 nucleotides) under Branchiostoma floridae (Florida lancelet). RNAcentral describes it as "Bfl-Mir-252-P2_3p* (star (passenger))". The record is from RNAcentral. Lineage: Eukaryota; Metazoa; Chordata; Leptocardii; Amphioxiformes; Branchiostomatidae.